This 893-nucleotide long non-coding RNA is filed under the name Homo sapiens (human). RNAcentral's name for it is "HSALNT0346404". Lineage: Eukaryota; Metazoa; Chordata; Mammalia; Primates; Hominidae. The record is from RNAcentral.
CAGAGCAAGAGCAUGUGGGCAGGACACUCCCUGCAUUCUCAGAGUGGAAGGAAGGAGAACCCAGGUGCCAUCAGUAGAAGUUUCCAUCUGAGAAACACCAGUGACAGUCUGGUCUGGGAGCGUGUGGCUGGGGAGAUUAAGUGAAGACACGGAGCUCUGUAAGAAGGAAAGAACAUGCCAGCAGGGUGGGGGCUUUGGCCUGAAGUCCACAGCGGGGGAGGGAGGCCCCAGCUCUGUGCAGGGAGCAGCGGCCAUGAUCAGCUGGCCAGCGUGUGGUGUCUUGAAGGAGUCUCGCUCUGUCGCCCAGGCUGGAGUGCAGUGGCACGAUCUCGGCUCACUGAAACCUCUGCUUCCCAGGUUCAAGCGAUUCUUCUGCAUCAGCCUCCCGAGUAUCUGGGACUACAGGCACGCCCAGCUAAUGUUUUGUAUUUUUAGUAGAGAUGGGGUUUCACCAUGUUAGCCAGGAUGGUCUCGAUUUCCUGACCUCAUGAUCCGCCCGCCUCAGCCUCCCAAAAUGCUGGGAUUACAGGCUUGAGCCACCACGCCUGGCACACCUAAUGCCUUUCUUCCUCAAUAAAUGCCACCUUUUCAUCUUUUUAUCUCCCUGGUUCUUGUAGCUUAUAGGCACUUACACAUGCAUUUCUGAAUGAAUGAGUAAGAAAGGAAGGGAGGAGGGGAAAGACUCUAUCCCAAGUGCUCCUCUUUUUCUUUUUCUUCUGUUUCUGUUCUGCCGGGGACAUUAUCUGUUUUCACAGCUUCAGCCCUGACAUGCCUUCCAGUCUGAAGUCUUGCGUUUUUGACUCCUGCUGGAGUUGGGAAGCUCAAAUUCAACACAUGUAAAAUGGAACUUAUCAUCUUCCAUCAAAAAUAAAGCUUCUGAAAUGGAAAUAAUA